CCCGCCACUGCACCUGACCAGGUCUCUGUUGGCUGGUGCAAUCCAGUGGUGAGCUGAUAGUAAACCCCAGCUUAGGAAACAGGGUGGUUCUUCAUGUGGAUGACUCUGUGCCGAAAGCAUGGGAACAGCC
Molecule: small nucleolar RNA, 130 nt
Organism: Macaca mulatta (Rhesus monkey)
Lineage: Eukaryota; Metazoa; Chordata; Mammalia; Primates; Cercopithecidae
Gene: SNORA65
Product: small nucleolar RNA, H/ACA box 65
Source: Ensembl